AUGCCCUUGUGCUCCAUGCCGUACCUCGUUCAAACAUUAUGCUUCCGAUGUUUGGCUUUGGGAGGCAUACCACUAUCAGGCAAAGAUGACUGCCAAAGAGUUUGGGAGCUUGCCCUCAAUGGCCACAACUAUCCUACAUGGGCUAUGAACAUCAAGACCAGUCUUGCGUCUCAUGGGAUUGCGGGUGCAAUCCAGCCCCCUGAGACUCCUCUCCCGGCUGGAGCCACGUCGCUGACAGAACAACAGAACUAUGCUGCUUUAUUUAUCAUAAGGCAUCAUAUUCACCCAGAUCUGAAGUCUGAGUAUUUACAGGAGGAAUCUCCUAGUACUUUGUUUCUGGCCAUCAAAACGAGGUAUGAACAGCAGAAGGCAGUAGUCCUGCUAGAAGCACUCCAUGAUUGGACUCAUCUCCGUCUUCAGGAUUUCAAGUCCAUCGGGCAUAUUUCCUUCACUGGUUAUGCUGUACUAGCAAUCUCAGGGACGCAAAGCACCUCAAGGGAAAAGGUUUGA
RNAcentral lists this ribosomal RNA (510 nucleotides) under Triticum aestivum (bread wheat). RNAcentral describes it as "partial small subunit ribosomal RNA". The record is from RNAcentral. Lineage: Eukaryota; Viridiplantae; Streptophyta; Magnoliopsida; Poales; Poaceae.